CACACACACACACACACACUUUCAUUUACUUUCAAGACUGGGCUGUGAUAAUGUGAUGUAGUCAUGUGAUACAAUGACGUUGGGACCUUGGGGAAGCACCCUGAAGUGUGCCCACUAUAACCGGAGCACAUUGUCAUCAACUAGUGAAUGAGUAUUCAGGAAAAUGAGUGCAAGGGUAAUCGCUUGUGCACUGUGUAAAAACAUCAUUUGUCAAUAAAAAGCUGAAUGGCCAAUAGCAAAGCAGGAGAGAAUAGGCAGGACUUCCGGGAAGAGAUAGGAACUCUGGGAAAGAGUCAGGCGUGGGAGAUUGGCCACAGGGAUGGGCAGAAGUCUGUCGCGUGAAACUGAGGAGGUAACCAGCUGUGUGGCAGAAUUUAGACUAGUAUAGACAGGGAACUGGGGCGGAUGGAGAAAAGCCCAAACUUUUGCAAAUGAGCGACACAUCUCUUCACCUGAACAUUGUGACCGCUAAGCUGAAAGGUCUGAAUGCUGAAUAGGUUUGCUGAACACAGUUGCCAAGUCAACAAGAAAACCACGCACGGCUUCUGAAAAUCUGUCCAGUGCUCUGAGCAGAGGGCCCCGCAGGCUUCUUUGUGUUCUCAUCUGUGUUUUCUGGCCCUUUCUUGGGGGUUACAAUUCAUUUCUUCCUGAACAUCAGACUCACAGUUGAGAAUAUUCGUUGGAAACUGCACUGAAGUGCUUCGGACUCCGGCAGACCUCCAGCCCAUGGGCAAACGAUUUUCCUGACUCAUCUGGUUCUGAUGCCCUCCGUAUGAGUGUGGGUUUGGCAAAAGCUCCUGAAGCCUCCGUUGUGAUUUUAUUUCUAGGAUUAUUCCUCUAAAGAAGGAUUGCAGAACUCUGUGGAGUACACAGAACACCCUUGGGAAAUAUCUGCUACCAAGUGGAUGAAGUGGUGUUUUCCACGUCACCCAUCUCAAAUAUCCUUAUUUCUGUUCGUCUCUUACCAUUUUUAUUCUUAUUUUUUUUUUAAGAUUUAUUUAUUGUAUGUG
RNAcentral lists this small RNA (1010 nucleotides) under Rattus norvegicus (Norway rat). RNAcentral's name for it is "uncharacterized LOC102549494". Lineage: Eukaryota; Metazoa; Chordata; Mammalia; Rodentia; Muridae. The record is from RNAcentral.